RNAcentral lists this ribosomal RNA (468 nucleotides) under uncultured bacterium. RNAcentral describes it as "partial 16S ribosomal RNA". It matches the Rfam family "Bacterial small subunit ribosomal RNA", at positions 28 to 507 of the family's 1533-position model. The record is from RNAcentral.
GACGAACGCUGGCGGCGUGCUUAACACAUGCAAGUCGAACGGAAAGGCCCUGCUUUUGUGGGGUGCUCGAGUGGCGAACGGGUGAGUAACACGUGAGUAACCUGCCCUUGACUUUGGGAUAACUUCAGGAAACUGGGGCUAAUACCGGAUAGGAGCUCCUGCUGCAUGGUGGGGGUUGGAAAGUUUCGGCGGUUGGGGAUGGACUCGCGGCUUAUCAGCUUGUUGGUGGGGUAGUGGCUUACCAAGGCUUUGACGGGUAGCCGGCCUGGGAGGGUGACCGGCCACAUUGGGACUGAGGUACGGCCCAGACUCCUGCGGGAGGCAGCAGUGGGGAAUAUUGCACAAUGGGCGGAAGCCUGAUGCAGCAACGCCGCGUGCGGGAUGACGGCCUUCGGGUUGUAAACCGCUUUCGCCUGUGACGAAGCGUGAGUGACGGUAAUGGGUAAAGAAGCACCGGCUAACUACGUG